UCUCACCCCGCACGUAAAACAAACCUCAAUCUCGAUCUGUUUCAUCUCAGCCUCCAGCCCCGAGAGGAGCCGCCGCCGCCGCCGAGAGGAGACGCCCCAGCCCCGAGAGGACCCACCGCCGCCGCUGCCGCCGCCGAGAGGAGACGCCCCAGCCCCGAUAGGAUCCGCCGCCGCCGCCGCUGGGGAACGAGGUCGCCGCCGCCUCCCUCGCCCGCGGCCAUGAUGACCGAUCUGGCGUUGGCGCCGCAGAUCACCCUCUGGUCCAUGGCCUCGACUAGUUUGCUAUGAUCUGGCGACGGGGAUGCAAGGAGAAGCUGCUGCGGUUUCAAGGGGCCGUGAGGAUGCCCACCAUGAAGGCGUGUCUGGGAUGAUGGAGGUGAUAUCCGCCAGAUCCCCGUUGCCGUCGACUGGCGGCGGCCAACUUCUCCUCUUCCAUGGCGUCGUCGGGGCCUUCCCUUGCCAAGCGCAGCGGCUCCUUGGCUGGAUCACCGUCGCACACCUCACCGGCGUGGUCGGCAAAAUCUGCAUCUCGAUCCUCGCCACUCUCCAUCCUCUUGCAGGUUUAUAAAUUUCGAAAUAUAGUUGCAACUUCACGGAAUGGACGGCCCAAAUUAUGUUAGUGUCUAUAUGUUUACUUGGUGGUGGUCUAGCGUGAGUGACACCUGCAUCUGUAACUUACCCAUUGGAUGUUCUUCGAAAUCACCUGACAACACAGAAAACCACUAGGUAUUACAAGGGCAUCUUUCACACGUUGUCUACAAUUGGUAGAGAAGAGAAUGGUAGAGGAUUGUAUAAAGGCCUUUGGUCCACCUUAUUGGGAGUUGGACCUGAUAUAUCAAUCAACGUUUAUGUAUAUGAAUCCCUGAGGUCUCAUUGGAAAAUGGAAAGUUGAAUGUCAAACUGUGCGACCAAUGAUUUGAUAUGGUUAAUUCCAGUUGGGUGUGUUAACCUACAGUAAUCAAUCAAGUCAACAAAUAUAACAAUGAUACUUUGUCUUCUGAUUUUUGGUGAUGAUUUUUUUUGUGACGGAACUAACAGGAGUUGAAGCAUGUGUUCUUAUUUUUUUAUAUGACUAGAUGCAUAUGAACUGAAGCUCCAUAAUUUUCUUUUCAAGUCGACAUUGGUGGCAACCAAUACAAUUAGCGUUAUUUACAACCAAUGAAGUCUUAUAAUUUUCUUUCUUAGAAAUAUACAGUGACGCUGACUAUCAUUUAGUAGCUCUACAGGCACUAGCCAAAAACAAUAAUGUUUAUUUAUUUAACCACCAAAUAGAACAAUAGGUUAUUCUGCAUUAUGGGUACACAAAUCACAACACUAUAUUUCAGCUGUAGAAAUCUGUGUGGAUGCCUGCUGAUAUUUUAAGCCUACAUAUUGCCGAUUUGGUUUGAGUAAUGCUUGAAGCAUAAUUUACUCCCUAAUGUGCAAAUAGCAGUAUCAUUUUUUGUCAAGAAACUGAGAAGACGGAAGAGAGUUGGUGUUGUCAGUGUGGUGAGCCUAUGCGGCAACCACAAGGCUGAAGUCUGCUUUGAUCGUUGUUCAAGAUUUGAGCCUUGGCUCCGGUUUUGAUAGCUCUAUAUCAGUGAGUUUAGUCCAGUAACUAUUUUAAGUAUCUUUACUGUGCAUAGUUGCAUACAUUUUAUUCAUGGAUUAGUCUUGGUAAUAUUAACAUUUGAAAAGCAAUUUUUGUGUGACCAUUUUUUCAUCUUAGUAUCUCCAUCUACCAGCAAAAGUCAACGUGCACAAACCUGUAUUUAACAUGCAACAUGAGAUAGUGUGCAUCGAAACUAUGCUUAUGUUUGUGACAUUCAUGUUGCAUCUCAUGCAGAUAGAUUUUAUUAUCCAUUUAUGUAGCAUGCAAUGUUUAUUUUCUUCUUUUGGUCCAUAAUCCCUCCUCAAAGAAAUAUAAGAGUGUUUAGAUCACUAAAGAAGUGAUCUAAACGCUCUUAUAUUUCUUUACAUAUGGAGUACAUGUCAUGAUUGUUGGAUACACAUGCAUACUUUCAGUGAGUUUUUGUUCUCGGACUUGGGAUCCACAGUCCAAAGUUGAUUGGUGGAUCAAGUGAACUUGGUGCAUCUCCAUUCAAGCUGGAGUACAAUUACCAGCCUGCUUGUUUAGCGCAGUCUCCACAAUCAUACAAGCAAAUGAGCAUCUGGCGACCCAACACACAAAGUUUCUAUCUUCUUAUUUUCUAUACAAGUAGCAGCUGGCGCAGCGGUGGUGUUGAUGAACGACACCCAAUGCAGAGGCGGCAGUUACCAUAGGGAAGAGCUACUAGAGAGGGAGCGAGGAAGGGGGAGACAGAUCUUUCAGGUACAAUGGUAUGACAACCAUGUUCUGAACUAUCAAUGAGAUUUGGUGCUAAGUCAGCAUCGUGUUUUAUCCAAUCUAUCAAACACCAUAAGUUUCAUGUCGAAUGUGUUGUAGAAAUGUUCUUCCAUAAAUAUGGUUUUAGUCCUUCAUAUUUUAGUACCGUUGUAAAUUUAUCCAUCCACAUAUCACUCUGAGAAACAUUUUUAAUUGGCGGAAGGAAGAAUGGGAGAAAAGAAGAGUUCUUUGACGUAAAAAAAGAAGUCGUCAAUAUAGCCCGUUGCAACGCACGGGCGUUCUACUAGGAGAUGCAAGUGGAGUGGAAAAAUGAAAAUACAUUGCAUCAAAUAUAUUUUUUGAUUGUUACUGUAAUUUUUUUCUAUACAUGUGAAAUUGGAAAUGCAUUAUGCUUAUGUAUGCAAUCAGAAAAAAAUUUAAAAGGCCCGUGACAACGCACGGGCAUUGUACUAGGGAAACAAGUAUUGACAUUGUACUAUGGAAACAAAACGAAUAGACAUGCAGACUAAGCUCCAUAUCCAAGGGAUUUUGGUAGUACAUGCCAUGUUUAUGCUCACUGUUGAUUAGUUUGUAUAUAACUAUUUAUGCAAUACUUGGACCAUAGGAGCAAUUCAUUCUGUAUAUUUUGCUGGGGAUUGUGCCUUGCAGUCAAUUUAUAGAAGGGUAAGAUGUAUCGCAAUAUCUUUGACUUGCAUUCUCUGUGAUGUCAAGUAAGAAAAUAGAAUAUAUACUCUUUGAAUU
Molecule: non-coding RNA, 3067 nt
Organism: Triticum urartu
Lineage: Eukaryota; Viridiplantae; Streptophyta; Magnoliopsida; Poales; Poaceae
Source: RefSeq, a predicted model, not a curated record